This 491-nucleotide ribosomal RNA is filed under the name uncultured bacterium. RNAcentral's name for it is "partial 16S ribosomal RNA". It matches the Rfam family "Bacterial small subunit ribosomal RNA", at positions 29 to 507 of the family's 1533-position model. The record is from RNAcentral.
GUGCACGCUGGCGGUAGGCCUAACACCUGCAAGUCGAACGGCAGCACAGUAAGAGCUUGCUCUUACGGGUGGCGAGUGGCGGACGGGUGAGGAAUACAUCGGAAUCUACUUUUUCGUGGGGGAUAACGUAGGGAAACUUACGCUAAUACCGCAUACGACCUACGGGUGAAAGCAGGGGAUCUUCGGACCUUGCGCGAUUGAAUGAGCCGAUGUCGGAUUAGCUGGUUGGCGGGGUAAAGGCCCACCAAGGCGACGAUCCGUAGCUGGUCUGAGAGGAUGAUCAGCCACACUGGAACUGAGACACGGUCCAGACUCCUACGGGAGGCAGCAGUGGGGAAUAUUGGACAAUGGGCGCAAGCCUGAUCCAGCCAUACCGCGUGGGUGAAGAAGGCCUUCGGGUUGUAAAGCCCUUUUGUUGGGAAAGAAAAGCAGCAGGUUAAUACCCCGCUGUUCUGACGGUACCCAAAGAAUAAGCACCGGCUAACUUCGUG